UGCAGUCGAGCGGCAGCACGGGGAGCUUGCUCCCUGGUGGCGAGCGGCGGACGGGUGAGUAAUGCAUAGGAAUCUGCCCGGUAGUGGGGGAUAACCUGGGGAAACCCAGGCUAAUACCGCAUACGUCCUACGGGAGAAAGCAGGGGACCUUCGGGCCUUGCGCUAUCGGAUGAGCCUAUGUCGGAUUAGCUGGUUGGUGAGGUAAUGGCUCACCAAGGCGACRAUCCGUAGCUGGUCUGAGAGGAUGAUCAGCCACAUCGGGACUGAGACACGGCCCGAACUCCUACGGGAGGCAGCAGUGGGGAAUAUUGGACAAUGGGCGCAAGCCUGAUCCAGCCAUGCCGCGUGUGUGAAGAAGGCCCUCGGGUUGUAAAGCACUUUCAGUGGGGAARAAAGCCUUCCGGUUAAUACCCGGGAGGAGGGACAUCACCCACAGAAGAAGCACCGGCUAACUCCGUGCCAGCAGCCGCGGUAAUACGGAGGGUGCGAGCGUUAAUCGGAAUUACUGGGCGUAAAGCGCGCGUAGGCGGCUUGAUAAGCCGGUUGUGAAAGCCCCGGGCUCAACCUGGGAACGGCAUCCGGAACUGUCAGGCUAGAGUGCAGGAGAGGAAGGUAGAAUUCCCGGUGUAGCGGUGAAAUGCGUAGAGAUCGGGAGGAAUACCAGUGGCGAAGGCGGCCUUCUGGACUGACACUGACGCUGAGGUGCGAAAGCGUGGGUAGCAAACAGGAUUAGAUACCCUGGUAGUCCACGCCGUAAACGAUGUCGACUAGCCGUUGGGUCCUUCGCGGACUUUGUGGCGCAGUUAACGCGAUAAGUCGACCGCCUGGGGAGUACGGCCGCAAGGUUAAAACUCAAAUGAAUUGACGGGGGCCCGCACAAGCGGUGGAGCAUGUGGUUUAAUUCGAUGCAACGCGAAGAACCUUACCUACCCUUGACAUCCUGCGAACCCUUCGGAGACGAAGGGGUGCCUUCGGGAACGCAAAGACAGGUGCUGCAUGGCUGUCGUCAGCUCGUGUUGUGAAAUG
RNAcentral lists this ribosomal RNA (1026 nucleotides) under Halomonas sp. Its description in RNAcentral is "bacterial SSU rRNA". It matches the Rfam family "Bacterial small subunit ribosomal RNA", at positions 56 to 1074 of the family's 1533-position model. The record is from RNAcentral. Lineage: Bacteria; Pseudomonadati; Pseudomonadota; Gammaproteobacteria; Oceanospirillales; Halomonadaceae.